RNAcentral lists this ribosomal RNA (466 nucleotides) under uncultured bacterium. Its description in RNAcentral is "bacterial SSU rRNA". It matches the Rfam family "Bacterial small subunit ribosomal RNA", at positions 334 to 792 of the family's 1533-position model. The record is from RNAcentral.
CACUCCUACGGGAGGCAGCAGUGGGGAAUAUUGCACAAUGGGCGCAAGCCUGAUGCAGCCAUGCCGCGUGUAUGAAGAAGGCCUUCGGGUUGUAAAGUACUUUCAGCAGUGAGGAAGGUGGGUAUGUUAAUAGCAUAUUCAUUUGACGUUAGCUGCAGAAGAAGCACCGGCUAACUCCGUGCCAGCAGCCGCGGUAAUACGGAGGGUGCGAGCGUUAAUCGGAAUUACUGGGCGUAAAAGCGCAUGCAGGUGGUUUGUUAAGUCAGAUGUGAAAGCCCGGGGCUCAACCUCGGAAUUGCAUUUGAAACUGGCAAACUAGAGUACUGUAGAGGGGGUAGAAUUUCAGGUGUAGCGGUGAAAUGCGUAGAGAUCUGAAGGAAUACCGGUGGCGAAGGCGGCCCCCUGGACAGAUACUGACACUCAGAUGCGAAAGCGUGGGGAGCAAACAGGAUUAGAUACCCUGUAA